Molecule: ribosomal RNA, 253 nt
Filed under: uncultured bacterium
Lineage: Bacteria
Description: partial 16S ribosomal RNA
Rfam family: Bacterial small subunit ribosomal RNA
Source: RNAcentral
UACGGAGGGUGCAAGCGUUAUCCGGAUUUACUGGGUUUAAAGGGUGCGUAGGUGGAUUUGUAAGUCAGUGGUGAAAUCUCCGGGCUUAACCCGGAAACUGCCAUUGAUACUAUUUGUCUUGAAUACUGUGGAGGUCAGCGGAAUAUGUCAUGUAGCGGUGAAAUGCUUAGAUAUGACAUAGAACACCAAUUGCGAAGGCAGCUGGCUACACAAAUAUUGACACUGAGGCACGAAAGCGUGGGGAUCAAACAGG